AACGCACGAGACCUGCGGACCUGCGGAAGGAUCAUUACCGAGUUCAUGCCCUCACGGGUAGAUCUCCCACCCUUGUGUAUUCUAUGUUUGUGUUGCUUUGGCAGGCCGUGGGCCUCGCCCACCACCGGCUCUCGGGCUGGUGUGCGCCUGCCAGAGGACUCUUUAAACUCUGUUUGUUAGUGUCGUCUGAGUAUGAUAACAAUCGUUAAAACUUUUAACAAUGGAUCUCUAGAUCGGAAG
Molecule: unclassified non-coding RNA, 240 nt
Filed under: soil metagenome
Description: partial contains 5.8S ribosomal RNA, internal transcribed spacer 2, and large subunit ribosomal RNA
Source: RNAcentral